Long non-coding RNA from Myodes glareolus (Bank vole), 832 nucleotides. RefSeq lists it as uncharacterized. Lineage: Eukaryota; Metazoa; Chordata; Mammalia; Rodentia; Cricetidae. The record is from RefSeq and is a predicted model, not a curated record.
AGUAGAUUUUCUCCUCUGGAACACACUGCAGUUUAAUUUCACCUCUUUCUACAAUGUGCGAUGAAGGUGGACUUAACUUUUAAAGGCAAAGAGACAAACCACUGCCAGGAUAAAUGAAAAGACGCAGAGGGGGCAGCUGGCACCACACAGGCAAGGAAAUGCUUUCUGGCUGGUUCCUAAUUUUCAUAUCCGGGUCAUCUUCAGAAAUCAUUUUCAGAGUAUCCUGCCACUGGUGUUGUGAAGGAAAGUCUAAGGAAGAGUUACCUUUUGGCACCCAGAAGCCAGAUUCCACGGUAGUGAGUGCUCUAUGAACUGACUGAACAUCUGCAGGAAGAUAAAAGUGUCUACGUUAGCCGAGUGGCUGAAAACCAACAGUCUCCCACUACAGGUGUAAAAAAUCUUAAAGAUUUUAGACACAUUUUUCGUAAUGAUCACAUAAUGGAUUCAUGUUCUGUAUUCCUUCACACUGAGGAGGUAGAGUCGUACAAAUUUACUUAUAUUGAACUUUGGUGCUAUGCCUCAGACAUCUCACUAAAAUUCCAAAUGUUUCUAAAAUGUCACAUCUACAUUUAAUAUAAACAAAACAUUAAAGGAUUUACUCAGUGGUAUCUUAAAAUCCGUCUCAUUAUCAGAAACAGCAAAAGGAAAAUAACUCAAUCUCUUUAAGACUGAAAUGUAUUAGAUUAGAAUUUAUCAUAGCCUGGUUCUGGCCAGGUCUUCGUAAUAAAUCUCCCCAUUUCCCAUUCAAACGCGAAAUCUUCAAUUUUCACGCUGGUAAACGAUAAAAGUGAUUUAAAGAGAUCUUUCUGUUUAUUUCUUCUUUAAGGGUAUG